CAGCAGCCCGAGUGGUGGUCGUUAUUAUUGGGCCUAAAGCGUCCGUAGCCGGUUUGGUAAAUCUUUGGGUAAAUCGAUGGGCUUAACUCAUCGACUUCCGAAGAGACUGCCAAACUUGGGACCGGGAGAGGUCGGAGGUACUCUAGGGGUAGGGGUGAAAUCCUGUAAUCCUUAGAGGACCACCAGUGGCGAAGGCGUCCGACUAGAACGGGUCCGACGGUCAGGGACGAAGCCGUGGGGCGCGAACCGGAUUAGAUACCCGAGUAGUCC
This 270-nucleotide ribosomal RNA is filed under the name uncultured archaeon. RNAcentral's name for it is "partial 16S ribosomal RNA". It matches the Rfam family "Archaeal small subunit ribosomal RNA", at positions 477 to 747 of the family's 1478-position model. The record is from RNAcentral.